Molecule: transfer RNA, 74 nt
Filed under: Salmonella enterica subsp. enterica
Lineage: Bacteria; Pseudomonadati; Pseudomonadota; Gammaproteobacteria; Enterobacterales; Enterobacteriaceae
Description: tRNA-Glu
Rfam family: tRNA
About the family: Transfer RNA (tRNA) molecules are approximately 80 nucleotides in length. Their secondary structure includes four short double-helical elements and three loops (D, anti-codon, and T loops).
Source: RNAcentral
GUCCCCUUCGUCACAGAGGCGGGACACCGCCCUUUCACGGCGGUAACAGGGGUUCGAAUCCCCUGGGGACGCCA